RNAcentral lists this long non-coding RNA (1575 nucleotides) under Salmo salar (Atlantic salmon). RNAcentral's name for it is "lncRNA (ENSSSAG00000102687.1)". Lineage: Eukaryota; Metazoa; Chordata; Actinopteri; Salmoniformes; Salmonidae. The record is from RNAcentral.
UUGUGUAUAGAUUGAUGAGGAGAAAAAAACAAUUUAAUCAAUUUUAGAAUAUGGUUCUAACAAAAUGUGGAAAAAGUCAAUGGGUCUGAAUACUUUCCGAAGGCACUGUAUACCCUCACAAUGAUACACUGUUUGCACAACCUAGUGAUUAAUUCCAUUUUUUAUGUUACCACCACCUGUCCACAUUUGCUCAACACCACCCCAUGUAAGUGUAGGUUUGUUCAGCUGGCUAUAUUUGUUUGUUAAUUUACUUUCUUGUUUGGUCAGCUUGGUACACACAGGUGUAACUACAUACGAUUCGUUUGACCGGUUGUUACCACCAACCAUUACAACAAGCACAGAUAGUGAUCUCACAUUUCAUACAGAAAUUACUGAAUUACACUACUCAAUUCAGUAGAUAGUACUUUGUCUUCCAUACAUGCAACAAAUGUAACACUUGCUAAAGAUAUAUUUACAGAAGUGAAGUAUCUAGUUGUCUGCUAUAGAUUUGGAGUUACAUAAGGUUUCUAGUUUGGGUUGUUAGUUGUCAUGCUCAAAAUGGAAACAAAAAUGUGUCUUACCCCAUUUGAAAGGGCAUUCCCUCCAUUAAUCUUAAAUAUGGUUAAUAGCAAAAGCAUAUGUAUCUUUGUGGACAGGCCUUUGGCCCAAACCCCUGUUUCAUGUGGUGAGGCCCUGUGGGCCCACAGUGAGUCAGCUCUUGGACAUGCAGCAUGCAAUCUGGGCAAGGGAUGGGUGGGCUGUGGCUAGUUUGGGCUGGAGCUCGGCAGGGUGGGAUUGGGGCUAGUUUGGACUGGAUGGGGUUUGGGCUAGAGCUGGGCCUCCUGGGGCUUGGUGGGCUAGGGCCGGGCUCCUAGAAGAGCUCAACCCACCACUGAUGUACUUAGGUGAUGAGAGUCAUUUGAUUAGGGAUUUGUAACUUCAUCUAGCAUGCUCUAGUCAUUGCGUGACGACUCGCCCUUAAUUGAAUUCCGCUGCUCUGUUGAUCACUACACACGUCUGAAUCUGCCAUCCUAGAAGUAAUUUGUGUGACUUCAAAAUGAAGGGCGUUGUACAAAACAAAUUCAUCAGGGAUUGGAUCGUCUCUAACAAAUCUAACCAAUCAGAGUAUCAAAGUUGAUAACGUCAUCACGUAGGCUGGCUCUGGCCCAACCCAACGGUUUCCGGGACCAAUCAGAAUGGUCAGAAUGUGUUCACCUUCUAGAAAUCGUAGGGGAGGUAAAUCCAGACUCAUCGUGGAAAAGAAACGUCAGUUUGGACGGAGCAAUGUGGAUGGGUAGCCAGUCUUUCUUCAGAGCCCUUUCCUGGAGCAGCUGUUAUGCUUGAGCAGAGUUUUCCUCGUUUCUACAUGUGAUUCAGAACAGAGAGAGAAAGAGAGGUAUGUUAGCCUAGGGAGAACAUAAAAAGGAACAUAAAUAGCCUAGUGCAGAAACAUAUCAAUGUGCUGUUAGCAUUGGUUUCAAGCAUCCUUUUAAUGGACAGAGCUGAGAUGUCUGCGCAGAGCGAGGGACAUACGGUGCAACUCCCACAGCUAUACGCCAUGUUGAGCCGGCCACAUUAAAUGCCUGCCAGUCUGCA